CAGCAGGAGGAGGGUGUCCCGCGUAAGGGUAAGGUAGGAGGUUUGUGUUCGGUUGUCUUGGAAGGUAGGUAGGUCUAGAGCGGCUGCGGCCGGCUGAGGUGGAGGGGGUGCGGCAGCGACGGCAGGGAGGCCGCCGCGCGGCCGAGCCCGUGCUACGUCGGCCACGGCCCGCGGCUUGGGAGGAGGAGGAGGAGCAAGCCGCUGCGGGCGGAGUUCGGGGGAAGGGGAGGGGGGGCGGGAACCGUGAGGGUGGAGAGGAUUGAGGGAGGGGAGUGGAUGCGCGACGGAGUGGGUAGAUUGGGGAGAGGGAGUGAGCGGGGAGGGGGCCGUAAAGAGCUGUUGAGCCUGGCUAGAGCGAGUUGGCGCCUGGCCUAGACGAAUGAGGCACCCGAGGCGACUAGCGGCUAACGAAGAGUCGUCGAGUCCAUGAAAUGUUGGUCCCUAGUGCGGCAUGGCUAGACGCGGCGGUGUCCACUGUUCACUGAAAUACCCACUAAACCGAAGACUAAGACUUUUUAAUGGGUACCUCCCAGUGCCAUACAGAAGACAGACGUUCCUACUGUAUCGAGACGAUCUCCUCCGUGAAGGAGGUCGCCCCGUCCGAGGUGCAAGUACACACCUUGAGGUAGUAUCGGUCUUUCCUUGAGUAUUUGUUCCGUCCCUACAACCAAGAAACCUCUGACUUCACCUAUGAAGUCCAAGAGGGUCGAGUCCUUAUUUCUCUCCGUUUCCUCCACUACCCUCGAGGGUACGUUAGAGGUUAGUGUAACUUGGUUUCCUUAGAAGUUGAAUACUCGCAAGCAGCAGGAAAGGCAGCUGCAGUUCCGAAGAGCAGAGGCGAUACUUUCCUCCGGCACUCUCUUCACCACUUUGUAGCGGUUGACCUCAGGCGGUGCAAUUAACCCGGGGUCUACACAUGCUGGGGGGCCAGUGGAGACAGCUGGUGUGCCACUUCCCGGUGGUUGUCGCGAGGUCCAGGUCCUUCUUCCUGUUCCCGUUCGUCUUUGUCUUCGUCUUCUUCUCCUUCAGCGCACCCUUGUCGUUCUUCUCGCCGCCGGAGGUGCUGCGGCGGGUGUUGGGCGAACGAGAGCUGCACGGGCCCGGCAGAAGCGGACUUCUUGAUCCGAAUCCCCUUCACCUCCUCCGGCUCCACGACCUGAUGUCGCGGAAGCUGUCAGUCCUCGGGUUCACGCCUCCGCCGAAGGGUGCGCUCUAGCGGCGCCGCGCCUGCACAAAGGGGCGGCGGCUCCGCAGUACUCACGGCUGCCACCGGACCCUGGGGGCCUGGGGCCUCCUCCACAUCUAUCUAUGCCAACCACAUGUAUUUAUUCUCUUUAGGUCCGACACACUCUACUCUACUCUACGGGAAAGAUAUAUUCGAAAACCGACCGUAGGAAAUAGUCAUUCAUCACAUCACACGAUGUGCAACACACGACGACAAGGCAAACAUCGGUGCCUGACCACUCUAGACUCUUAUUAACUUAGGGGAAAGCUCCCUCAACAGUAGGUAACACGAUUAGAAUAGAACCCAGGUUACAGUACGUAACGAGUAAUGACCAUAGUCCAGUGUAGUCAGUAGUCACCGUCUGACAACUCGAUCGAACGAUCGACGAAUGAAUUUCGCCGUUCCGACCACAUGUGGUACUCUCCUCCUUGCUUCGAGUUUAGGCGGUCUCGUCUCGUAACUAGGGAGGGAGUACCGGUACCGGCGGCGGUGGCUCGUCGAGGAGGGGGUCCUCGUCGCGGCGGCAGCUGUCCAUGCCCCCGAGCGGCAGAGACGGGACGACGGCCACUACGACGAGCGGCGGCGACCGGGAGAGGCAGGAUCCGACAAGGCGCGCGGUGACGGCGUCCUCGCGCAGCGCGAGUGGGAAGAGAGGCCGCGCUUCCUCUUCCCACGUCCAUGUGAUAUGACAUAUAUAUCGAAAGAAGGAAGGUCGGUAAGUAGACCUCAAAUAAACCAGACCAAAGUCACACGCACCUGCCUUGUGGCGGACCAAUGGUGGACGUCUCCCCGAGGCCACUGCCGCGGCUGGCGACCGAGCAGGUAGAUCUCCCUCCUCCGACCACGUCGUGUCAGUUCCUUACAAGCCUGUCGUCUGACAGGUGGUUUCCAAGUAGGUUGAAGUACUUUGGCUAUGCCAAGUACCCGUUACCCUAGGAGCCGCCGCUAGUCGAUGUCUUAGGACCAUUGAUGUCUUAGGAGCCAACCGGAGGAAUAAACAAGGUAGAGAAAGGUACAGGAACGCGAUUAAAACCAGCCGCACAACUGUCUAAAGAUGUUGACCUUGUUUCAGAUGCACGCCAUGACGCUACCCCGCAGCAAAAGACCCCUGCGCCUUCGAGUUCGUGUCCUACCUUGGUGCGAUAUGAAAUCUCCUAACGCAUAGAAACUUCGUCGAUAGCUGCUUGAGUACCUUUUUUCUAUGAAUUAAAGAACCCAAUUAUAUUCGAAUCGCCGCCUUUACCCUUUUUUUGAGUACAAAGAUGUGUAAAGUCCGGGAGAAAUGUCCGACAAGACGACCACGAGAUAGGUACUACGACGUAACGCUACUAAAAGCACGUUCUAAAGGCGUCCUCCAAAGUCAAUUUACGAAACGCCUACGACCCAAAAAGGAACUACUUUUCCUAUAUAGGCCUUUUUCCAGGGAAACCAGAGACAUGCUAUCAGUAAGUGGAGGUCUUACAAUCUUUUCACAACGGGUUCCUGACGGAACGGUUGUUCCUCGGUUGGCUCACGAAGAAGGGCCGUCUCGAAUAAUUCUCGUAGGCGUGGGGGUACAAAUAAGAGUUGGGAUCAAUACUAAGUACCGUCUAUGCUUUACAAGAACAUGGACUAAGUAGACGAGGACUGUUUAGUACCAACUCAACGUUCCUUUUAUAGGCUUUGACGUUAAGAUGUGUUCAACUUCAGGAGCUACCUGACUCCUUAUUCUACCAGUUACUGAACUUCCAGCAGCUUCUGUUCCUCCUGACCCCGUACAAGUAGCUAAGUACGAAGUGCGUGACGGUUAGCGAGAGGCCGCAGAGAACCGUAAGUGGUUGGAGGGGCUUCGAACUUUUAUUCUGGUAACGUCUUCGACAACCUCUGACCGUGAGACCUUCCUCGGUUCCUCGGUUUCUCUAACUGACGUUCAUAGUCACGUUGGGUUGUACGUUGUCAAACGGCGGAGGUGCCCUACAAUGACGUAAGCUGGCACAGCUCUAGAUGAUUCAUUUCCAAGCUCUUUUCCCCUCCCCCCUCCGUCGUUAGUAGUAUAACAUGACCGGUAAUUUCACUUUUAUUAUGAGUAGUACUUACUUCUGUUAUUAGUACUCCUAUAAGCUCGAUUUUGAAGACCACAUCUGAACCGAUGUGGGACAAAGUCAAUCAAAACGACGACUGUAAACAGUACUGAAACUAGAGGGGCAAUAAUUUCUAGUUCCAGACGUUUACUGCCACGUGGGUUACUUUUACAAGUAACUUACUCCUAAUUUUGACCUCAAUAAAUAUCGAUUUCGCGGUUUACUACGGGUACAC
RNAcentral lists this ribosomal RNA (3520 nucleotides) under Triticum aestivum (bread wheat). RNAcentral's name for it is "partial small subunit ribosomal RNA". The record is from RNAcentral. Lineage: Eukaryota; Viridiplantae; Streptophyta; Magnoliopsida; Poales; Poaceae.